CAGCAGCCGCGGUAAAACGGAGGGUGCAAGCGUUAAUCGGAAUUACUGGGCGUAAAGCGCACGCAGGCGGUCUGACAAGUCAGAUGUGAAAUCCCCGGGCUUAACCUGGGAACUGCAUUUGAAACUGUCAGGCUGGAGUCUUGUAGAGGGGGGUGGAAUUCCAGGUGUAGCGGUGAAAUGCGUAGAGAUCUGGAGGAAUACCGGUGGCGAAGGCGGCCCCCUGGACAAAGACUGACGCUCAGGUGCGAAAGCGUGGGGAGCAAACAGGAUUAGAGACCCGAGUAGUCCCUGUCUCUUAUAC
This 301-nucleotide ribosomal RNA is filed under the name uncultured bacterium. RNAcentral describes it as "partial 16S ribosomal RNA". It matches the Rfam family "Bacterial small subunit ribosomal RNA", at positions 509 to 807 of the family's 1533-position model. The record is from RNAcentral.